UUUACUAUCAGACACUCAAGACAAAGAAAUACAACUUAAUUCCAUUUUAAUUAUGUAGUGCCGAAUCACAACAGAAGUUAUCUCAAGGCAUUUUUCAUAUAGAGCCGGUGUAGACCGUACUCUUUAUAUUAUUACAUUUACAACAGGAGACCCAACAGUUCCCACCAUGAGCAGCACUAGGUGACAACUGAGUGGAGAAACUGGGUCCUGUCAGUGAUCAGUAAUGGUGCUGCAGCAUUUUGGAUCAACUGCAGAGUCUUCAGAGACUUGUUGGGGCAGCCUGAUAAUAAUGAAUUACAAUAGUCCAGCCUGGAAGUGAUUUUGCAUCAAUGCUAAUAAAACAACAUGAGCGUUUACCUUAAAGACUUCUUCAAUUAUAAUUUACAAAUUAUUCUAAUCUUCCUCCUCCUACUUUUUGAUAGUUUAGGUCAAAUAAGGUUACAAUGCAACUGUGAGAGGGUUGGUCAUGGUCUCUCUGUCCUCUAUAAAAAUAAAAUCACUUCCUCCUGACAGUGUUCACUACAGCUACACCUUCCCCUGAACACAAGAAGACUGACGACUUCAAUCCUUCAGACACCUGUCACCACCAGAGCAGAUCAGAACCUGUUGGCAGCAGCAGUGAAGAUGACUGGAUUCUCCUGGACGGCUCUGACUUUGUCUUUGUUGCUGUUUGCUGGAAACAGUUUUGCUGUGGACCAGAAUGAACUCGCCAAAAUUGUAGAUGCGAUCUGGGAGAAGUUCAAUGCCAGGAGGAUGUUCAGUAUGGCAGUGAGCAUCCCAGAGAAGGAGAACAAGCCAGGAAGUUAUGAUUUCAACCAAAUCCUCACCACUGAGAACGAAUCCAAACAUGUCCACUACUGAGGCGCAGAGAGCUGAAGCCCUUCAAAACCUUGUGAGUAAAUCAGGUCUCGAACUUGAGAACAUAUUCCGUUGUAAAAAGCCAGAUGAUCAAACAAAUAAUCCAAUGCAGUGCACCAGCUGCUCAACUAAUGGACAAGUUACACCUUAUUGUGUCUCAGAUGAUAUACAACCUAGGCGCAACACCAGCCCAUCCAUAGCAGCCAUUAACAGCAGGGGAAGAAGCAACAGAAGAAGCAACCAAAGAAGCAAUCGAAGAAGCAACCAAAGAAGCAACCAAAGAAGCAACCAAAGAAGCAAUCGAAGAAGCAACCAAAGAAGCAACCAAAGAGGAAACCUAAGAAGCAACCAAAGAAGCAACCAAAGAGGAAACCUAAGAAGCAACCAAAGAAGCAAUCAAAGAAGCAACAGAAGAAGCAACCAAAGAGGAAACCUAAGAAGCAACCAAAGAAGCAAUCAAAGAAGCAACCAAAGAGGAAACCUAAGAAGCAACCAAAGAAGCAACCAAAGAGGAAACCUAAGAAGCAACCAAAGAAGCAAUCGAAGAAGCAAUCAAAGAAGCAAUCAAACAAGCAACCAAAGAGGAAACCUAAGAAGCAACCAAAAAAUCAAUCAAAGAAUCAACCUAAGAAUCAACCUAAGCAGCAACCAAAAAAGCAAUCAAAGAAGCAAUCAAAGAAGCAAUCGAAGAAGAAGGGGCCGUGGUUAGGGUAGCAGAUAGGUACAGGGUCUUGAAACUGCCAUGAUAUGAUUUAGGUCAAACAGAUUUGCAGGGACUUGCAGGUUACAGGUUAGUGGCUUUGGUGGCUCAAGCUACUGCCCAUUCUGUUUGGCUAAAGCUCCACUCCUCUCCUCCCUAAGAAAUAGAAUAACUAGAAUUACGGCCUCCACCAACCAGAGCAGAGGCAGGAAAUAUGGUCACAAUCUCCCCUUUUAUUCCAAAAUAAUGACCAGAAAAGUGCUUUUGUAGAACAUUAUGAUGCCUCAGUGAGGUUCACUUUUGACCCAUUGGAUGUAAAAUGUCAUCACUUAAUCAUUUUGUCCUAUUAGACAUUUGUGUGAAAUUUUGUCAUAAUUAGCGUGUGAAUUCUUGAGUCAUUCUUGACUCAAGAAUUCACCUAACAUUCAUAUCAUUUUAUUGUUUUUGUUUCCAAUUCAUUUAAUAUUUUCUCUCUGAAACAGAGAAAAGACAGAUGUAUAUUAUCAAACCACCACAAUAAAAGCUUCCUUCUGCUUCAAA
This is an RNA transcript of Lates calcarifer (barramundi perch), 2098 nucleotides long. It is a transcript of the gene named translation initiation factor IF-2, with no coding region annotated. Lineage: Eukaryota; Metazoa; Chordata; Actinopteri; Centropomidae. The transcript is spliced from 5 exons. The record is from RefSeq and is a predicted model, not a curated record.